This 27-nucleotide small RNA is filed under the name Bombyx mori (domestic silkworm). RNAcentral's name for it is "ovarian small RNA-23132". The record is from RNAcentral. Lineage: Eukaryota; Metazoa; Arthropoda; Insecta; Lepidoptera; Bombycidae.
UAGUUCACUCACGACCUUUAGGUGCAU